GAAUUUUCCAAGACUUGCCUGUCAGAGUUUGAAGAAUAAUUAGUCACUAUCAGGAGCUUCUAAGGUGUUAGAACAGUAACCCACAGAUAUUGACUUUUCAAUGAAAUGAAAUGUUUUCUUGGAGGGCGGUUGUUUCUGCCAGCACAGCCUGUAUAAUAUUUCAGAAGUGCAAGCUGUUUGUGUACCCAGCACCAUCAAGAAUAGCUACAAGGUAUUUGGACAUUCAAUUUGGAAUUGUACCUGAAACCACACGAGCGUGAAAGUAUAAUAAUAUGAAAUGGAGACAGAAAGGAAGAAAGAAGCCAUUGCAAAGCUGGGACAAAGGCAUCAUCAGACAGAAAUUCUGAGGCAAA
This 353-nucleotide long non-coding RNA is filed under the name Calidris pugnax (ruff). Its description in RNAcentral is "lncRNA (ENSCPUG00000002185.1)". The record is from RNAcentral. Lineage: Eukaryota; Metazoa; Chordata; Aves; Charadriiformes; Scolopacidae.